This 486-nucleotide ribosomal RNA is filed under the name Aeromonas veronii. RNAcentral's name for it is "bacterial SSU rRNA". It matches the Rfam family "Bacterial small subunit ribosomal RNA", at positions 34 to 507 of the family's 1533-position model. Lineage: Bacteria; Pseudomonadati; Pseudomonadota; Gammaproteobacteria; Aeromonadales; Aeromonadaceae. The record is from RNAcentral.
CGCUGGCGGCAGGCCUAACACAUGCAAGUCGAGCGGCAGCGGGAAAGUAGCUUGCUACUUUUGCCGGCGAGCGGCGGACGGGUGAGUAAUGCCUGGGGAUCUGCCCAGUCGAGGGGGAUAACUACUGGAAACGGUAGCUAAUACCGCAUACGCCCUACGGGGGAAAGCAGGGGACCUUCGGGCCUUGCGCGAUUGGAUGAACCCAGGUGGGAUUAGCUAGUUGGUGAGGUAAUGGCUCACCAAGGCGACGAUCCCUAGCUGGUCUGAGAGGAUGAUCAGCCACACUGGAACUGAGACACGGUCCAGACUCCUACGGGAGGCAGCAGUGGGGAAUAUUGCACAAUGGGGGAAACCCUGAUGCAGCCAUGCCGCGUGUGUGAAGAAGGCCUUCGGGUUGUAAAGCACUUUCAGCGAGGAGGAAAGGUUGGUAGCUAAUAACUGCCAGCUGUGACGUUACUCGCAGAAGAAGCACCGGCUAACUCCGUG